CUAAAGGGUCUGUGCAAUUCUAGAUUCGAAGGUUCAAACCACAAUGAAAUGCACUAAUUCAUACACCAGCAGAAACAUGGAGCCCAUAUCAUGUUUAUCUGUACAUAAAGAACGCUCCCCCUCGACUGGUGAGUGCUGUAUGACUGUUAAGACAUAUGGCCGACAUAAUUUGUGGAAUCCUAUAGGGUUGGCUCGUUUCGGCCGACCCUAAA
Molecule: small nuclear RNA, 212 nt
Organism: Juglans microcarpa x Juglans regia
Lineage: Eukaryota; Viridiplantae; Streptophyta; Magnoliopsida; Fagales; Juglandaceae
Product: U11 spliceosomal RNA
Exons: 1
Source: RefSeq, a predicted model, not a curated record